AGAAAGCAGUCCAGGGGUUUAGUCAGAUUGCUUCUUCUCACCGAGCAGCGUCAUACACCAUGUAAAAUGUGCCUCCUUCGUCUUCUCAUUCUGCCAUGAUUGUAAGUUUCCUGAGGUCUCCCCAGCCACGCUUCCUGAACAGCCUGCGGAACGUUAAUCGCCAGACAAUCCAGAUGAUGCUCCUGCUACAAUGACGCAAUGAUACCAACCCGUCUCUCAAGAACGCCCCCAAAAAUUAAAGUUUUCUUUUUCCAAGGUGCCCAUGCCACCCCCUGUGUCACGCCUGAAGUAGUUAUUGAGCCCAGUCCCAAGGCACAAGACCACUUGUGCCAGCAGCCAGCAGCGUGCAUCAGCAAGACAGCAGAAGCAGGAAGACAGCCUGCUGGAAGACACUUACCCUGGCCGGAAGACAUGUACCCCUGAAGAUGGAGAAAGAGGCCUUCCGGGUACUACGUAGCAGUCACGUCAGACCGGGACACUUCCUGUUUAGAGAGGACUAUAAAACUCCGGUCCGGUAAUCACUUGGGGCUGACGCCAUUUUAGGCCUCAUCCCGCCUGCACCCAGGCACUCAUUAAAACAGCGUGUUGCCCCACACUGCCUCGUGUUGUCUGUUGGUGCGCUCUCGGGGUUCAAACCGAUACAAGAACCUUUCAAAUGGUAGUAAGAUUAAAGGUUUUUACUAAGUUAUUAAUAACAAAAAAGGCACAGAUCUUAAAUGUGCAGUUAUGAAUUUUGGCAAUUGUAUACAUUCAUGUAAUCACUACCCACAACAAAAAUAGAAUGUUUCCACCACCACAAAAAGUUUGCAACACCCCUGUACCUCUUUCUAGUGCAUUUCCAAUCAUGUCCUCAUACCUACCUACCCCACAACCAUUUUUUAAUCUCUUCCAGAGCUAACGCUUAAUACAUUGAAUUUUACAUAAUCUUAGGAUAGACUGUCCCACAUAAAGGAGACUAUCUGCAAUAAUUUAUGUUGGAAGAAUAAGAUAUUGAUGUCAAUUAAUACAUUUUGUGUCCUGGUUUAAAAAUGCUCCUACUAUUAAUUAAAAUUUUAAAGACAUUUUCUUGUGAAAGUAUAAAGGGAUACUUUUUUCUAUUUUGAACAUUAUGAGUUCAAAAGUUCAUUCUGAUAGAAAAUUUUAUUUUGUGUGUUUCAACUAUGUAUGGAUGGAAAUAAAACUAGGAAGAAAUAUAGAUAAUUCUUUAUACUUCUUUGCAUUUUCCAAAUUUUAUGCUACAACCAUGUAUUGCUUUUAUUGGUACAAUAAAGCAAUAUCAUCAGUGUAAAAUGUACUUAUUUUUUCAUAAUUAUGUUAAGUCUCUUUAUAUUUAUUUUGAUCAAAGUGUCUUAGAGAUGUGUUUUCAAUUAAGAAGUCCCAGGGUCUCCAAGCUCACUGGCACUGUCCUGUUUUUCCUCACACAAAUACUAACUGCUAUGGACAAUGACACAGUUCUGGGAAAAACCCAUGAGAGAUCAUUAGAGAUAAGAGAGAAUAUUCACCAUGUUUGUUUCACUCCCAGGAACAAGCAAAGUUUUGUUUCUCAAGGUUUUAUUUUUAUUUUUUUGAGACAGAGUCUUGCUCUGUCAUCUAGGCUGGAGCAAUUCUUCUGCCUCAGCCUCCCAAGUAGCUGUGAUUACAGGCGCCAGCCACCAC
Molecule: long non-coding RNA, 1656 nt
Filed under: Homo sapiens (human)
Lineage: Eukaryota; Metazoa; Chordata; Mammalia; Primates; Hominidae
Description: HSALNT0300545
Source: RNAcentral